UAGCACUUGGUCUUUUGGGCUUGGAUUUUGCAAUGGAGAAAAAGCUUGAAAACCCCACAGAUAAGAGUACCGUUGAAUAUGUAACCGAGCAUGAAAAGUGGGAAAGGGCUAACAAACUCUGUUUGAAAAUUAUUAAGCGAUCGAUAUCUGAUUCCAUUCUAGGUGCCAUCCCUGAUAAUGAAAAUGCCAAAAAUUUUAUGAAUGCCAUCGGAGAAAAAUUUAUUAAGUCUGAUAAAGCCGAAACUGGGGAUCUGAUGGAUAAAUUUAUGAGCAUGAAAUAUGACAGUACAAGUGGUGCUAGGGAGCAUGUCAUGAAAAUGAUAAAUAUAUCAUCUAAGCUAAAGGUUCUUGACAUUCCCACUGCGGAGCCUUUUCUGGUCUAUCAUGUUUUGAAUAACCUUCCUAGCAAAUUUAAUUAGCUUAAGAUUGCUUACAAUGCUCAGCGGGAUAAGUGGAAUUUGAAUGACCUCAUAGCAGUGUGUGCCCAAGAAGAGUAUAGGAUGCGUCGUGAGACUAUUGAAACUGUGCAAUUAGCUUUUCAGCCAUCACAGAAUAAGGGGCCUUCUCAUAAUCGUAAAUCUAAGUUUCGUAAGGGUAAUAAGUCCCAUCGAAGUCAGCAGAAUAAUAAUUUUAGUGGUUCCAAAGCAGUUAUAAAGAAAAAUGAUCAAUGCAAGUUCUGUAAAAAGAAGGGUCACUGGCAGAAAGACUGUUUUAAGUUCAAGACUUGGUUGGAAAAGAAGAAGAGUUCUUCAGGUAUUCCCUUGGCCUUAGUUUGUUUUGAAUCUUCUUUAGUAGAUGUACCUUUGAAUUCUUGGAGGUUAGACUCGGGAGCUAGUAUUCAUAUUGCAAAUUCCUUGCCGGGGUUCAUAAGCAAACGGAGGCCAAGUGAGAAUGAAGUAAGAUUGAGCGUUGCAAAUGGAUUUCAAGUGAAGGUUGAAUUCAUAGGAGUAGUGAAGUUAACUUUAGAGUCUGGUUUUUAUCUUGUUUUGGAAAAUACAGUUUAUGUACCGCAGAUGAGACGAAAUUUAAUUUCUAUACCAAAACUUGAUGCUUGUGGUUUUACAUUUAAUUUUGGUAAUGGA
RNAcentral lists this long non-coding RNA (1082 nucleotides) under Olea europaea subsp. europaea. The record is from RNAcentral. Lineage: Eukaryota; Viridiplantae; Streptophyta; Magnoliopsida; Lamiales; Oleaceae.